UACGUAGGUGGCAAGCGUUGUCCGGAUUUACUGGGCGCAAAGAGCGCGCAGGCGGUCGUUCAAGUCGCGUGUGAAAGCCCCCGGCUCAACUGGGGAGGGUCACGCGAUACUGAUCGACUCGAAGGCAGGAGAGGGAAGUGGAAUUCCCGGUGUAGUGGUGAAAUGCGUAGAUAUCGGGAGGAACACCAGUGGCGAAGGCGACUUCCUGGCCUGUUCUUGACGCUGAGGCGCGAAAGCUAGGGGAGCAAACGGG
This 253-nucleotide ribosomal RNA is filed under the name uncultured bacterium. RNAcentral describes it as "partial 16S ribosomal RNA". It matches the Rfam family "Bacterial small subunit ribosomal RNA", at positions 524 to 776 of the family's 1533-position model. The record is from RNAcentral.